GUUUUGUUGGUUUUUUGGGAAAAUGACCGUUUGGUUCCUUAGAAAAUGUGGGGAAAGGAGAGGGCGGAAAAAAAAACUAAAGCUUUGAAAUUUGUAAUAUUUCAUCUAGUAAAACUGGUGUUCUAAGCAACUGUUGAGAGUAGCAUACAUGGCUAUUUUACUUGUUUAUUUUUAGAAUUCUUUGUGUGUAGCAGUUUUGAAAAAUUAAAAAAAAAAAUUGUAAAAUUGUGUCGAGUUUUUGGAAGCUCAAAAGGGAAGGACUAAGGA
This 267-nucleotide unclassified non-coding RNA is filed under the name Hevea brasiliensis (rubber tree). Lineage: Eukaryota; Viridiplantae; Streptophyta; Magnoliopsida; Malpighiales; Euphorbiaceae. The record is from RNAcentral.